GUGGGUAGUUCCCAUCCGAAUUGAAGAUAGUCAAUAUAUAUUGUGCAAGGUGUUUGCCAUCAAGUUUCUUUUCGCCACUUUGUGCUAGCGGUGGAUUACGUUUUUUGACUCUAAAAAGGAGUUCAGUUUACAUCCUACAUCCAAACUUCAUCAUAGUUUAAAAAGAGAGAGAAAGAGAGAGAUCCCAAUUUUAUGAUCGUGGUGCCAAUAAGAGUUAAAAGAUGUUUU
This 228-nucleotide long non-coding RNA is filed under the name Setaria viridis. RNAcentral describes it as "long non-coding RNA (SVIR_LNC002778)". The record is from RNAcentral. Lineage: Eukaryota; Viridiplantae; Streptophyta; Magnoliopsida; Poales; Poaceae.